UACAGAGGGGGCAAGCGUUAUUCGGAAUUAUUGGGCGUAAAGGGCGCGUAGGCGGCCUUCUAAGUCGAACGUGAAAUCCCCGGGCUCAACCCGGGAACUGCGUCCGAUACUGGAAGGCUUGAAUCCGGGAGAGGGAUGCGGGAAUUCCAGGUGUAGCGGUGAAAUGCGUAGAUAUCUGGAGGAACACCGGUGGCGAAGGCGGCAUCCUGGACCGGCAUUGACGCUGAGGCGCGAAAGCCAGGGGAGCAAAGCGGGG
RNAcentral lists this ribosomal RNA (256 nucleotides) under uncultured bacterium. Its description in RNAcentral is "partial 16S ribosomal RNA". It matches the Rfam family "Bacterial small subunit ribosomal RNA", at positions 524 to 778 of the family's 1533-position model. The record is from RNAcentral.